Molecule: ribosomal RNA, 550 nt
Filed under: uncultured bacterium
Lineage: Bacteria
Description: bacterial SSU rRNA
Rfam family: Bacterial small subunit ribosomal RNA
Source: RNAcentral
UAGGGAAUCUUCCACAGUGGACGCAAGUCUGAUGGAGCAACGCCGCGUGAGUGAAGAAGGGUUUCGGCUCGUAAAGCUCUGUUGGUAGUGAAGAAAGAUAGAGGUAGUAACUGGCCUUUAUUUGACGGUAAUUACUUAGAAAGUCACGGCUAACUACGUGCCAGCAGCCGCGGUAAUACGUAGGUGGCAAGCGUUGUCCGGAUUUAUUGGGCGUAAAGCGAGUGCAGGCGGUUCAAUAAGUCUGAUGUGAAAGCCUUCGGCUCAACCGGAGAAUUGCAUCAGAAACUGUUGAACUUGAGUGCAGAAGAGGAGAGUGGAACUCCAUGUGUAGCGGUGGAAUGCGUAGAUAUAUGAAAGAACACCAGUGGCGAAGGCGGCUCUCUGGUCUGCAACUGACGCUGAGGCUCGAAAGCAUGGGUAGCGAACAGGAUUAGAUACCCUGGUAGUCCAUGCCGUAAACGAUGAGUGCUAAGUGUUGGGAGGUUUCCGCCUCUCAGUGCUGCAGCUAACGCAUUAAGCACUCCGCCUGGGGAGUACGACCGCAAGGUUG